GCCUUUAUGGUGUAAUGGUUAGCACACUCGGCUCGUAUUCGGGAGGUCCGAGGUUCGAGUCCCUGCGAGGGCG
RNAcentral lists this transfer RNA (73 nucleotides) under Stegodyphus mimosarum. It matches the Rfam family "tRNA". Rfam says of the family: Transfer RNA (tRNA) molecules are approximately 80 nucleotides in length. Their secondary structure includes four short double-helical elements and three loops (D, anti-codon, and T loops). Further hydrogen bonds mediate the characteristic L-shaped molecular structure. tRNAs have two regions of fundamental functional importance: the anti-codon, which is responsible for specific mRNA codon recognition, and the 3' end, to which the tRNAs corresponding amino acid is attached (by aminoacyl-tRNA synthetases). tRNAs cope with the degeneracy of the genetic code in two manners: having more than one tRNA (with a specific anti-codon) for a particular amino acid; and 'wobble' base-pairing, i.e. permitting non-standard base-pairing at the 3rd anti-codon position. The record is from Rfam by way of RNAcentral. Lineage: Eukaryota; Metazoa; Arthropoda; Arachnida; Araneae; Eresidae.